ACGCUCGACACCUACGGGGGCAGCAGUGGGGAAUAUUGCACAAUGGGGGAAACCCGUGAUGCAGCGACGCCGCGUGAGCGAAGAAGUAUUUCGGUAUGUAAAGCUCUAUCAGCAGGGAAGAAACUGACGGUACCUGACUAAGAAGCACCGGCUAAAUACGUGCCAACAGCCGCGGUAAUCUGAGCGGGCUGGCAAGGC
Molecule: ribosomal RNA, 198 nt
Filed under: uncultured bacterium
Lineage: Bacteria
Description: partial 16S ribosomal RNA
Rfam family: Bacterial small subunit ribosomal RNA
Source: RNAcentral